Molecule: ribosomal RNA, 499 nt
Filed under: uncultured archaeon
Lineage: Archaea
Description: bacterial SSU rRNA
Rfam family: Archaeal small subunit ribosomal RNA
Source: RNAcentral
GGGCAAGACCGGUGCCAGCCGCCGCGGUAAUACCGGCGGCUCGAGUGGUGGCCACUUUUAUUGGGUUUAAAGCGUUGGUAGCUGGGUUGUUAAGUCUCUUGGGAAAUCUGACGGCUCAACCGUCAGGCGUCUAAGGGAUACUGGCAAUCUUGGAACCGGGAGAGGUGAGGGGUACUUCGGGGGUAGGAGUGAAAUCCUGUAAUCCCCGAGGGACCACCAGUGGCGAAGGCGUCUCACCAGAACGGUUUUGACAGUAAGGGACGAAGGCUAGGGGCGCAAACCGGAUUAGAUACCCGGGUAGUCCCAGCCGUAAACGAUGCGCGUUAGGCGUAUGGGCGUCCUCGAGUCACGUAGGUGCCGAAGGGAAGCCGUGAAACGUGCCACCUGGGAAGUACGGCCGCAAGAUUGAAACUUAAAGGAAUUGGCGGGGGAGCACCACAAGGGGUGAAGCUUGCGGUUUAAUUGGAUUCAACGCCGGAAAUCUCACCGGGAGCGACAG